GGUACAACUCUCGAUAGUGGAUAUCUCAACCCUUGCAUCGAGGAAGAAUGUAGCAAAAUGCGAUAUGUGGUGUGGAUUGCAGAAUCUCAUGAGCCAUCAAGUCUUUCAAUGCAAGUUGCACCCGAGGCCAUCCGAUUGAGGGCAUGCCUGCCUGGGCAUCAUGC
This 164-nucleotide ribosomal RNA is filed under the name Mauritia flexuosa. RNAcentral describes it as "5.8S ribosomal RNA". It matches the Rfam family "5.8S ribosomal RNA". From Rfam's summary of the family: 5.8S ribosomal RNA (5.8S rRNA) is a component of the large subunit of the eukaryotic ribosome. It is transcribed by RNA polymerase I as part of the 45S precursor that also contains 18S and 28S rRNA. Lineage: Eukaryota; Viridiplantae; Streptophyta; Magnoliopsida; Arecales; Arecaceae. The record is from RNAcentral.